Homo sapiens (human) is the source of this 405-nucleotide long non-coding RNA. NCBI's taxonomy places the organism in Eukaryota, Metazoa, Chordata, Mammalia, Primates, Hominidae. The record is from Ensembl.
CCGCGUGCAUGCUGGGCUCUCCUGGCUCAGCUGCUUUCACACAUUGCCGAUCAGCAGCAGCAGCAGUGAAGGAGAACUUAAGUGGCCGUGCCCACCUGCUGCUGCUUGGGUCCUGUGCACAAGCUGUUCCCGCUGCCUCCAAUACUCAUCCCCUCGACUUCUAUGGAGCUGACUCUUCACCUUCCAGCCUUGGCUCAAAUGUCACCUUCACAGUAAAGGCUACCCAUGGCUGGGUGUGUGGUUGUGCAGGAUCUGCCCCUUCCAAAGGGCCAGAAUGGAAAAAUGAACUCACUUCUGUUCUCUACUACACUAAAACAAUGCUUAGCACAUAACCAGGACCUGGCACCUAUUUGUUAAAUGAAUGAAUGAAUGAAUGACUAAAUAAAUGAAAAAAAAAAAAAAAAA